This 252-nucleotide ribosomal RNA is filed under the name uncultured bacterium. Its description in RNAcentral is "partial 16S ribosomal RNA". It matches the Rfam family "Bacterial small subunit ribosomal RNA", at positions 524 to 776 of the family's 1533-position model. The record is from RNAcentral.
UACGGAGGAUGCGAGCGUUAUCCGGAUUUAUUGGGUUUAAAGGGUGCGUAGGCGGAUCGUUAAGUCAGUGGUCAAAUUGAGGGGCUCAACCCCUUCCCGCCAUUGAAACUGGCGAUCUUGAGUGGAAGAGAAGUAUGCGGAAUGCGUGGUGUAGCGGUGAAAUGCAUAGAUAUCACGCAGAACCCCGAUUGCGAAGGCAGCAUGCCGGCUUCCUACUGACGCUGAGGCUCGAAAGCGUGGGGAGCAAACAGG